This is a long non-coding RNA of Cervus elaphus (red deer), 1074 nucleotides long. RefSeq lists it as uncharacterized. The record is from RefSeq and is a predicted model, not a curated record. Lineage: Eukaryota; Metazoa; Chordata; Mammalia; Artiodactyla; Cervidae. The transcript has 4 exons.
ACUGCAUAUAUUUAAAUCGUAUAAAAGGAAGAUGUGAUAUACAUAUACUGUGCAAGGCAACUGCAUUGCUAACAAGCUCCCAGGUGAAGCUGCUGGUCCAGGGACCAGCGUGGGAACCGCUGAAUUUGCCCAAAGCGACGAGAGGAAGAGGAGCAGAGGUUUCCAAGCAGCAAGGACAGUGUGGGUGCUGGACUGAGGCGGACGUGAGCCCAGCAUGUUCGAGAAACUGGAAGGAGGUUAACGUGGCUGGAGUCUGUGAGCACGACAGAGGGAUAGCAGCGGGGAGAGGACCCAGGCCACGGCGAGGGCGGCCGCUCCCCGCAGGCCCCGAGGCCGCUGCGCAGGGAGACGUGAGCGUUUUGCCUGCAGACAGCUCCUCCAGGGUGCAGGAUACCUGCAACGACUCCCUGCAGGACAAACUUUAAUGCCUGAUCCCAGCGUUCAAAGCCCAGGUGGGCAUCAGUCCGGAGAGUGGACACCAAAGGCUGCCAUCGUACCCUGGGUCUUCGGAUAAGUGACCAAGACAAGCCGUCAGUGUCCUGGGCAUGGGGCCGGGCACGGCUGGGCAGGACAGAACUGCCGGCAAAAACCGGCCUCCCCCGAGGCUGACACGUGCCUGUCCAGCUGGGGGUGGGCAUCAGGGGGCAACGCUGCCCUGGCCAAGCUCGGCCACACGCCCUGGCCUUCCACCGCUCUGCCCAGCGGCGCCCACCCCUGAGGCUGUGGUGGACCCUGGUGACAGUCCAGUCCAUGUGCGCCCCGGCCACAUCCAUCCAGCCAACCAGGGAGCCGUCAGCAACCCGAGGGCAGGAGGCUCACGGGAAUGAGCGAAGCGCUGGGCGGGGAGAGGACACGCCCACGACACCCGUCCCAGCAGACGGCCUGGCAGGGCGGUCAAAGGCGUGGGCUCCGCUACGCUUCCAUCUGCCAGCCGUGCCAUCGUGGACAAGCAUCCCUUAUGUUCCCCCAUGACAGUACCCAGCUCACAAAGUUGUGAGUUUUGUUGUUGCUGUUUAGUCACUAAGUCGUGCCCGACUCUCUGCGACCCCAGGGACUGGAGCCCACCAGGCUCCU